AGAACGAACGCUGGCGGCGUGGAUAAGACAUGCAAGUCGAACGCUGGGUGUUGGGUAGCAAUAUUCGACAUUUGGAGUGGCGUAAGGGUGCUUAACACGUGGGUAAUUUGCCGCAAAAUCCGGAAUAACCCCGAGAAAUCGGGGCUAAUACCGGAUGUGACCUCCUGGGGGCAUCCUUGGGAGUUGAAAGCUGGGGACUGUUAAAGGCCUGGCAUUUUGCGAUAAGCCCGCGGCCUAUCAGCUAGUUGGUGAGGUAAUGGCUCACCAAGGCUUGGACGGGUAGCUGGUCUGAGAGGACGACCAGCCACACUGGAACUGAGACACGGUCCAGACACCUACGGGUCGCAGCAGUCGAAGUAAUUUUUCGUCUAAAGUGGGGGAAACCCUGGAAGGAGCGGACCGCCGG
RNAcentral lists this ribosomal RNA (406 nucleotides) under uncultured soil bacterium. Its description in RNAcentral is "bacterial SSU rRNA". It matches the Rfam family "Bacterial small subunit ribosomal RNA", at positions 26 to 400 of the family's 1533-position model. The record is from RNAcentral.